Molecule: ribosomal RNA, 771 nt
Filed under: uncultured bacterium
Lineage: Bacteria
Description: bacterial SSU rRNA
Rfam family: Bacterial small subunit ribosomal RNA
Source: RNAcentral
AGAGUUUGAUCAUGGCUCAGGACGAACGCUGGCGGCGUGCUUAACACAUGCAAGUCGAACGGUAAGGCCCUUCGGGGUACACGAGUGGCGAACGGGUGAGUAACACGUGGGUAAUCUGCCCUGCACAUCGGGAUAAGCCUGGGAAACUGGGUCUAAUACCGAAUAGGACUGCGCUCUUCAUGGGGUGUGGUGGAAAGCUUUUGCGGUGUGGGAUGGGCCCGCGGCCUAUCAGCUUGUUGGUGGGGUAAUGGCCUACCAAGGCGACGACGGGUAGCCGGCCUGAGAGGGUGACCGGCCACACUGGGACUGAGAUACGGCCCAGACUCCUACGGGAGGCAGCAGUGGGGAAUAUUGCACAAUGGGCGCAAGCCUGAUGCAGCGACGCCGCGUGAGGGAUGACGGCCUUCGGGUUGUAAACCUCUUUCAACAGGGACGAAGCGCGAGUGACGGUACCUGUAGAAGAAGCACCGGCCAACUACGUGCCAGCAGCCGCGGUAAUACGUAGGGUGCGAGCGUUGUCCGGAAUUACUGGGCGUAAAGAGCUCGUAGGUGGUUUGUCGCGUUGUUCGUGAAAACUCACAGCUUAACUGUGGGCGUGCGGGCGAUACGGGCAGACUGGAGUACUGCAGGGGAGACUGGAAUUCCUGGUGUAGCGGUGGAAUGCGCAGAUAUCAGGAGGAACACCGGUGGCGAAGGCGGGUCUCUGGGCAGUAACUGACGCUGAGGAGCGAAAGCGUGGGGAGCGAACAGGAUUAGAUACCCCGGUAGUCC